UGGGAGGCGGCCCGGGGGCCGGGUGAUGGCCUCAGGGAGGCUGGCGUAUCUGUGGGUGGCCGGCGGGGCAGACCCCGUGGGCACUUCCUGGUCGACUCUGGGUGAUGGGGAAGCCAGCAGGGGUUAGUGAGCAGAGGGGGACAAGGCCUGGGUGGUGUUUGUUCAGUGUCCAGGGGCGCUGCUCGGAGAACUGUCACAUGAAGCGGGUUCCAGGCAGAAAGUGGAGGCAUGAGAAGGCCCAGGAUGGAAGGCACCACGCUGGCUGGACCCGAGACCGACCCUGCGGUCGACCUGAAAGAAGGGUUGUGACUGAGCGGGAAAGGCUGGCUUCACAGUGGUCCUCAGCGUGUCAGACCUACAAAUUCUGAGUCAUUAGGUAGCAAAAGAAAAAGAAAGAACCCAUCUGUUCCUGGUUUUCUGAGAACGUCCGUAUCAGUAAUUGUACACACUCAGAGGGGCUUCAGCUGCGAGCAACCGAAUGUACGACUAAUGGUUCCUUAAAUAAAUGGGCGCUUAUUUUCUGAGAUGCAGUACUUAGGUCUCAACUCUCUGAAAUAGUUUUUUAUCGUUGUGUAUCUUUCAUUCUGAUGACAAAGCAACAUCCCUGCUGGGAACGGGGGCCCCUGGGUUGUGGUCCCUUUCCUCCGCCGUCCCCAGACGCUGUUCCGCCGCCGUGAGCGUCGUCUGUGGUAGGUGAGGUGUCUCACGCUGUCUGAGUGCUUUUCCUUCUUAGUCGAGCCCGGAACGCCACGAGCCCUUGCGCGUGCAGCCGGCAGACCUUCCUCGGCGGGAGGACCCUUCCAGCGCUCAGCUACUGCCUUCCUCCCACUGAUAUCCUUCUCCACUUCUGGGACGUCCAAAGCUCUCGUAUAUUAGGUCUCCGGCUCCAUCCUCCAAGUCAGUCUCGUCUUCCUGUGUUACAUUUGUCCCUUAACCUUCCCACUUCGUCUGUUGAGAUGUUUCUUGUCCUCUUCUCCCAGGGGUACUAAUCGGGGUCUGCACCACGAUCUCUUCUUUAAUCAAUCUGCUGGAUGUUUUAAUGUCGAAUUAUGUUUUUAAGCUUCUGGAACUCUUUCAGUGCUGGGAUUUGGGUCUUUUCCGUGUCCUCAUAAACUCGUGAUGCAGGUGUUUAUCUGGCUUCCAGUAUUCUGUUUCACUUGUCACAUUUUUGGAUGGUUCACUCCGAUAAUCUCCUCUCUGAUGCCCGGAAUCUCACCCUCCCACACGCCAUCCCCAUAGGGGCAGUUUUUUUCCUUUUUUCCUUUGUCGGAAGUCUGGGGCUCAGGUCUGCUGCUGGAAUAGCUUUCAUAUCCAACAGGUAGAAAAAGCAAAGGAAUAGCCCACCCCAUGGCUCUCAGCCCCGCCCCGAGCCCCCCAGAGGAACUCUCUUGGGCCCCCUUACUUCAGGGGUAGAGAAGACUCAAUACACCCAUUCUGUUGUUGCAUGAAACCCUCUUUUCCAACUGGGGGGUCAGCUUCCCGCAGAUCCUUGGUUCUCCCCCUGGGCUCUGAUUCUGCCGCUCCUGACCGCCCAGCUCGUGGGGGACGUCGGGGGUGAGUGUGCCCCCCCAGCUGCCCCAGGCCCCAGCGGUCCACACUCUGCAGAGUUGCUGGAAGAGGCAGGGGGCUCGUUCAGGCCUCAGUGAUCCCUGAGCACCCUCUCAACCUUCCUCUCCGCUGUUGGGAUGAUGUAAAAUUCACUCUCCUUGUAUGAAAUACAAGUGUUUUCCACUUGCUGACCUUUUCCGGGUGACACAUAGCUGACAGUUGUGUGCUAUUUGCAGACUUUUUUGAGAAAUAAACACAGUCUGCCCUUCAAGGUAAAGUUGGUAUCUCAGUCAAGAAUGAGAAAAUA
Molecule: non-coding RNA, 1855 nt
Organism: Vicugna pacos (alpaca)
Lineage: Eukaryota; Metazoa; Chordata; Mammalia; Artiodactyla; Camelidae
Source: RefSeq, a predicted model, not a curated record